This 253-nucleotide ribosomal RNA is filed under the name uncultured bacterium. Its description in RNAcentral is "partial 16S ribosomal RNA". It matches the Rfam family "Bacterial small subunit ribosomal RNA", at positions 524 to 776 of the family's 1533-position model. The record is from RNAcentral.
UACGGGGGGGGCAAGCGUUGUUCGGAAUUACUGGGCGUAAAGGGCUCGUAGGCGGCCAACUAAGUCAGACGUGAAAUCCCUCGGCUUAACCGGGGAACUGCGUCUGAUACUGGAUGGCUUGAGAUUGGGAGAGGGAUGCGGAAUUCCAGGUGUAGCGGUGAAAUGCGUAGAUAUCAGGAGGAACACCUGCGGUGUAGACAGCUUACUGGACCACGACUGACGCUGAGACACGAAAGCGUGGGUAGCAAACAGG